CCUCUCAGAGCAGGGCUCUGACACGUUACUGGGUUACAAAGACCCCUCCCUGCCAGGGCCAGCGUGCAGCACAGUGUGCUUUUGAGUUCCGGUGAACGGGGUGCUCUGGCUGGAGCCUAGUGCGAAGUUUCCCCUUCUCCGCCCAUUCCUCAUCCCUCAGGGCACACAGGUCACCUUUCCUCGCCUUCUCGUCCCCACCUCUAAGGCUUGGCCAAAGUUUCUUCAUAAAAGCAAGAAAGAUAACGAAAGAGCCCCCCAUGGGUUAUGGUUUUUGUGGGGCCAGGAAUGCCCAGUUUGAACCUCCAGUUCCGCCACCUGUAGCCGAGUGAAAGAGGCUGGGUUAUUCAGACACCCCAAGCCUCAGUUUCCCCACUUGUUGUGAGGCUUGAGUGUGCUAACACAUCAAGGCAACCCAGAACAGCGCUUGGCAGAGACUCGCAGUUUAUCACUGUGAACUGUCGUUAUUGGAAAGUGGGUGGAGUCGGGUUUGGAUUCCCCCAGGAGCAGAGACAGAAACAAAAGGAUUCAAGGGCAAGGAUGGCCACGUCCCAGCUCUAUCCAGCCCCUGGCCCAGUGCCUGGGGUUCGGUGGCGCUCAGUUCACGCUUGCAGAGCGAGCGGCGGUGAGUGGAUGCGGUGGGGUCGGGCUGUGGUGGUAAAGGUGGCCGUGAACAGGAGGGGCCACUAGAGCACACAGACGUGAAUGACAUGGGGCUCCAGGAGGGGCAGGAAGAGCUACAGAAACAGCAUCCCCAAAGCUGCCUGGCACGGAAGAGGUGCUGCAGAAAUGGGACUUCCCUUCCCAUCCUCUUCUCCUGAUAAACAACUGAAAACAUAAGAGCGAGAUCUUGGGGCUUCUGUGAGGUUAAAUGAACGAACAAAAGUCUUACAGCGGAAAUCACUGAGAAUCUCCCCUCCCCUGUCUUCCAAGGAGAACAUGAUUGUGAGCCUGCUCCUCCCUUCCUGGGGGGGUUGCUUCCUGCUGGGGAGAGGCUAAGUUGAACUCUAGGAUCAAGAAAGGGAAGGAGGCAGAGAAAGGUGAGAAAGGUGAGAAAGAUGAGAAGGUGCUCGCAUGGAGCGUCCGGGCAGUACCAGGCUGGCCCGAAGGAGGUGCGGAUGAGGGGGAAAGGCUGUUUACAGAUGUGGUGGCUUCUCCGUGUGCAUUCACCUCCUGGGUCUCAACUCGUGCAGAUGGAGGGUCUGAGUUAAUCUGAGGUUACAUUUGUUUGCUCAGCUAUGCUUUUUCAAGAGGCCAUUCCUCUGAGACUGAGCCCCAUGGCUCCUGGCUUUACAUGAGUUACACGCAUCUUCUUCUCCUUUUUUCUAAAUAGUAAGGGGCAGAGAGAGUUAGAAAUAAAAAGGAAAGCUGAAAACAAAAACCUCUCAGAAGAGACUCUGGCUGUUUU
RNAcentral lists this long non-coding RNA (1405 nucleotides) under Homo sapiens (human). RNAcentral describes it as "HSALNT0387510". The record is from RNAcentral. Lineage: Eukaryota; Metazoa; Chordata; Mammalia; Primates; Hominidae.